Molecule: ribosomal RNA, 468 nt
Filed under: uncultured bacterium
Lineage: Bacteria
Description: partial 16S ribosomal RNA
Rfam family: Bacterial small subunit ribosomal RNA
Source: RNAcentral
GACGAACGCUGGCGGCGUGCUUAACACAUGCAAGUCGAACGGAAAGGCCCUGCUUUUGUGGGGUGCUCGAGUGGCGAACGGGUGAGUAACACGUGAGUAACGUGCCCUUGUCUUUGGGAUAACUUCAGGAAACUGGGGCUAAUACAGGAUAGGAGCUCCUGCUGCAUGGUGGGGGUUGGAAAGGUUCGGCGGUUGGGGAUGGACUCGCGGCUUAUCAGCUUGUUGGUGGGGUAGUGGCUUACCAAGGCUUUGACGGGUAGCCGGCCUGAGAGGGUGACCGGCCACAUUGGGACUGAGAUACGGCCCAGACUCCUACGGGAGGCAGCAGUGGGGAAUAUUGCACAAUGGGCGGAAGCCUGAUGCAGCAACGCCGCGUGCGGGAUGACGGCCUUCGGGUUGUAAACCGCUUUCGCCUGUGACGAAGCGUGAGUGACGGUAAUGGGUAAAGAAGCACCGGCUAACUACGUG